GGUAGCAUGGCCAAGCAGUCUAAUUCACUGGAUUAAGGCUCCAGUCUCUUCGGGGGCGUGGAUUCGAAUCCCACCGCUGCCA
This is a non-coding RNA of Danio rerio (zebrafish), 82 nucleotides long. NCBI's taxonomy places the organism in Eukaryota, Metazoa, Chordata, Actinopteri, Cypriniformes, Danionidae. The record is from Rfam.